CGCCUUGCCAGCCCGCUCAGAAACUCAAAUGAAUUGACGGGGGCCCGCACAAGCGGUGGAGCAUGUGGUUUAAUUCGAUGAUACGCGAGGAACCUUACCUGGGCUCAAAUGUAUGUUGACGUAUUCUGAAAGGGAUACUUCUUCGGACAAUAUACAAGGUGCUGCAUGGUUGUCGUCAGCUCGUGCCGUGAGGUGUCGGGUUAAGUCCCAUAACGAGCGCAACCCCUACCUUUAGUUGCCAUCAGGUUAAGCUGGGGACUCUAAAGGAACUGCCUACGCAAGUAGUGAGGAAGGCGGGGAUGACGUCAAAUCAGCACGGCCCUUACGUCCAGGGCUACACACGUGCUACAAUGGCCGAUACAGAGGGCAGCUACCUGGUGACAGGAUGCAAAUCUCCAAAGUCGGUCUCAGUUCGGAUCGGAGUCUGCAACCCGACUCCGUGAAGUUGGAUUCGCUAGUAAUCGCGCAUCAGCCAUGGCGCGGUGAAUACGUUCCCGGGCCUU
Molecule: ribosomal RNA, 503 nt
Filed under: uncultured Sphingobacteriales bacterium
Lineage: Bacteria; Pseudomonadati; Bacteroidota; Sphingobacteriia; Sphingobacteriales
Description: bacterial SSU rRNA
Rfam family: Bacterial small subunit ribosomal RNA
Source: RNAcentral